This 229-nucleotide ribosomal RNA is filed under the name uncultured bacterium. Its description in RNAcentral is "partial 16S ribosomal RNA". It matches the Rfam family "Bacterial small subunit ribosomal RNA", at positions 568 to 796 of the family's 1533-position model. The record is from RNAcentral.
AGUGUAGGCGGCUACUUAAGUCGGAUGUGAAAGCCCCGGGCUCAACCUGGGAAUUGCAUUCGAAACUGGGUAGCUAGAGUUUGGUAGAGGUAAGUGGAAUUCCGGGUGUAGCGGUGAAAUGCGUAGAUAUCCGGAGGAACAUCAGUGGCGAAGGCGGCUUACUGGACCAAAACUGACACUGAGGCUCGAAAGCGUGGGGAGCAAACAGGAUUAGAUACCCUGGUAGUCC